This is a long non-coding RNA of Ictidomys tridecemlineatus (thirteen-lined ground squirrel), 2451 nucleotides long. RefSeq lists it as uncharacterized. Lineage: Eukaryota; Metazoa; Chordata; Mammalia; Rodentia; Sciuridae. The record is from RefSeq and is a predicted model, not a curated record.
GCUGGGAUUUCUGUGCCACCGCCGCGCCCGGCUCUGACCAGUUCUGGAAGGAGAGAAAAGAGAAGUCUAAAUUCCCUGCCUGGGAGGUGGGUCCCGAGCAAGAGAAGACCAGGCAGUGGCCGCCGUGGGCACAAGCAGGCCUUGCGGGAAGGAUUUCCAGCAGCUGAUGAGCAGAAGGUCCUGAUCUGCACAAUUGGGAACAAGGGUAGGUAAGAAUUGUCGUGUGGAUUACAGGGGACAGUGUAUGCAAACCCUUGGCGCAAGGUCUGGCACGUGGUGACGGAGGUAAGGGCGAGGGUGAGGGAUAGGGGUGGUGAUUCCAGGCCCUGGUCCCAGCUUGACCCUCUGGUGGGGCCUUAUCCAGGGACGUGCCCCCACUCGACUUCCCUCCUCAUGUCCAGCUUCUGGGCCAUCCUGCCUCUGUGCCCCACCCUGCACCCCCUUUCCCUGGCACGAUCCUGUCCAGCAACCUGCCUGGCCUAGAGGUCGCAUCCCUGACUUAUUUUCCCUGGGGAGGCAAGGCUCAUCUGGGGUCUUUGAAGAGGGAGACUCUGGGGGAGAUGAAGCCCGCAGGACAGACGCAGGGCCAGGGAAACAGGGACAUAGGCUUACGUGGGCACACCUUUUUACGUGGGCACACCCCUUUAUGAGGGCACUGGGCACACCCCCGCUAGUGUGGGCCCACAGCCCCUUCCUUACGCGGACACACACCCCCUUCGUGGGCACAACCCCUUUACGUGGGCACACUCUCCUUACGCAGGCACUCACCCCCUUACGUAGGCACAACCCCAUUCAGGCGCACACUCCUUUACGUGGGAACACCCCCCCCCCAUGUGGGCACACACCCCUUUCGUGGGCACACCCCCCUUACGCGGGCACACCCCCCUUACAUGGGCACACCCCCAUUCAGGCGCACACCCAGACACAGGCCCACACACACAGGACAGACACUCACAGAGACAGAGAAGAGACCACUUUUGCGGAGUUUGCCCAUAAUUUUGCAACCAGAAAAUUGAGAAAGAUGACUGUUCUAAUUCCGGCCUCCGUGUGAGCAUUUGUCGUGAAUUGCCUGGUGACAGGCUGGGACGGUGGCGCGCAUCAGUGAGUCCAAUGUUUAGAGCUUCCAAAGAUCCUAAUGUGGCCCUGGGGAUGGAAGGGGCGGGGGAGCGGCCAUGAGCUGGAACCCCGGCCUGGGAGGGGGACUGAGAGGACCUGGGUCAGCUGGUGGACAGACAGGGCCGGGGCCAAUGGCAGGCUGUUGCUGGGGAAACGCGGCUCCAUGCCAUCACCGGGACCGGGAGGCGCACAGCCAGCUGCCCGCCCUCUGUCUAAUUCUCAGCCUCCCCAGGGUCCAGGCCCUCUCUCUUUCUCUGUGUCCUUCAUGAAGAGGAGCCACCCCUCGGACGAGGGACAUGAGACGGCACUGGCCAGAGGAGGAUGUGGGUCUGCGAUGGGGACAGGACUGAGCCAGGAAGGCAAACGCAGCAGAUUUUUAUGACCACCCGCGCCCCUCCGGGGUGAAUUCAGCAUCACCCCAUCCUAGGCUCCUCCGCCAUGAUGUCCUGCCUCAUCCUGGGCCCAGAGCUAUGGAGUCCCCGGACCACAGACAGAGCCUCGGAACCCAGGAGCCAAGCAUAAACAAUGCAAUAACAGUGGAAUCCAGCGAUAAUAUGAAGUGUAUUGUGCCAGUCUGGGAGCCAGGACUAAGUCAAGGCCAGCUGUGGAUGUCCAGCCACACACUGGUGGCUGAAGGUCCAUGUCUUCCUGUUGACCUCGGGAGGGCUGCUGCAGACACACUGCCCUCGGCCCCUGCACCUGCGGCCAUGCUUACCAACAGGACACCCUCGGGAGAGAGAAGUGCACUUACCAGGACAUUCAGCCUUGACCCAACGUGUCACUUAACCGAUGGGUGGAAUUCCCAGGCUCAGGUUGUCCCCAGUACCAUCCGCCCGGGAGGCUUUCUGUCCCCGUGGCCUAGUAUUCACUCCGCGGUCCCAGCUGCAGUGGCCGUCUCUCCUCAGCAGCUCCCCUCUCCACCUAGAUGCUCUGAAGAUGCACAGAGAGUUGUCCUGUGGGUCCCUGUCAGCUGUUUUCUUCUUCCCUUUAUUUAUGUUUUCUGUGCUGGGGAUGGAACCCAGGGGCGCUCAACCCUGAGCCAUAGCCUAGCCCUUUUGAUAUUUUAUUUAGAGAGAGAAUCUUCCUGAGUUGCUUAGGGCCUUGCAAGUUGCCGAGGCUGGCUUUGAACUUGUGAUCCUCCUACCUCAGCCUCCUGAGCUGCUGGGAUUAUAGGAGUGCACCGAGGUGCCCGGCUUGCCUGCUGUUUUCGAAAGCUGAGUGUGCGUUCUCGGUGGAGUGAAUCCUGAGGUCUGUAUCUUUUGCUUGAAUUUUUGAAAAAAACAAAACAAAACAAAACAAAACCUAAUUGCAAAGAUUAAAACCUGAGCGAUUGUA